This 471-nucleotide ribosomal RNA is filed under the name uncultured bacterium. Its description in RNAcentral is "partial 16S ribosomal RNA". It matches the Rfam family "Bacterial small subunit ribosomal RNA", at positions 28 to 507 of the family's 1533-position model. The record is from RNAcentral.
GACGAACGCUGGCGGCGUGCUUAACACAUGCAAGUCGAACGAUGAAGCGGUGCUUGCACCGUGGAUUAGUGGCGAACGGGUGAGUAAUACGUGAGUGACCUACCUUUGACUCUGGGAUAAGCCUGGGAAACUGGGUCUAAUACCGGAUACGACCAAUCUCUGCAUGGGGUGUUGGUGGAAAGCGUUAUGGAGUGGUUUUAGAUGGGCUCACGGCCUAUCAGCUUGUUGGUGAGGUAAUGGCUUACCAAGGCGACGACGGGUAGCCGGCCUGAGAGGGUGACCGGCCACACUGGGACUGAGACACGGCCCAGACUCCUACGGGAGGCAGCAGUGGGGAAUAUUGCACAGUGGGCGCAAGCCUGAUGCAGCGACGCCGCGUGAGGGAUGACGGCCUUCGGGUUGUAAACCUCUGUUAGCAUCGAAGAAGCGAAAGUGACGGUAGGUGCAGAGAAAGCGCCGGCUAACUACGUG